UUCGGAUUGAAGGCUGAAAUUCGCCUUCAUGAAGCCGGAAUUGCUAGUAAUGGCAGGUCAGCAUACUGCCGUGAAUACGUUCCCGGGCCCUUGUACACACCGCCCGUCACACCAUGAGAGUUGGGAAUACCCGAAGCCUGUGAGCUAACUUUUAGAGGCAGCAGUCGAAGGUAGAAUCAAUGAUUGGGGUGAAGUCGUAACAAGGUAGC
This 209-nucleotide ribosomal RNA is filed under the name uncultured bacterium. RNAcentral describes it as "partial 16S ribosomal RNA". It matches the Rfam family "Bacterial small subunit ribosomal RNA", at positions 1292 to 1500 of the family's 1533-position model. The record is from RNAcentral.